RNAcentral lists this long non-coding RNA (506 nucleotides) under Gossypium raimondii (Peruvian cotton). RNAcentral describes it as "long non-coding RNA (GRAI_LNC004734)". Lineage: Eukaryota; Viridiplantae; Streptophyta; Magnoliopsida; Malvales; Malvaceae. The record is from RNAcentral.
CCAAACAAGCCACCCCCUUUUAUUUUAUUUUAUUUUAUUAUUCUUAUACUUAGAUUUUAACUUUAUUUUAAUUUUUCUGCUAUUUCUAUUAUUUUUAGUAUUAUUUUUUACUAUUAUUCUUACAAUUACCUUUAAUUUUAUUGGUAUCAUUGAGUUUUUUUCUUUUCUUUUUCUUUUUCGUUUUCGUUUUCGUUUUACUUUUGUUUUUGUUUUUGUUUUUAGUUGCUUUAUUUUUAUUUUAUUAGACUUAUUUCAUUUAUUAUCUUUUGAACUAUGUUUUUAUUUUUUUAUGGUUGUUUCUAAUUGAGUUGUAACCUCUUAAUCUUAUUCAUUAUUUGUGUUUAUUUUCUUCUUAGUUUGCACAGAAUCAUGCACCUCACUUUCAAUUGCCUACAAUUUCACUUUUCACCAUUCUGGCGAUUUCAUCCAAUAUUUAGGGCAGUUUCAGUUUUCUCCUACUCUUAUGAUAUUUUGCUUAUACUUUGAUUAUAUCUGUUUGUACAUUG